RNAcentral lists this ribosomal RNA (473 nucleotides) under unidentified nematode Sourhope farm. Its description in RNAcentral is "SSU rRNA". It matches the Rfam family "Eukaryotic small subunit ribosomal RNA", at positions 58 to 529 of the family's 1831-position model. Lineage: Eukaryota; Metazoa; Nematoda. The record is from RNAcentral.
UGUAAGCACAUGCCUUAAAACGGUAAAGCCGCGAAUGGCUCGGUAUAACAGCCACUGUUUAUUAAACUCUAGUAAUCUACUUGGAUAACUGUGGCAAUUCUAGAGCUAAUACAUGCACGCAGGCUCGGACCUUUUGGGAAGAGCGCAUUUAUUAGACCAAAACCAAUCGGGCUUCGAGCCUGUGUUUUGGUGACUCUGAAUAACUCAGUCGAUCGCACAGUCUUAGUACUGGCGACGUAUUUUUCAAAUGUCUGCCUUAUCAACUUUCGAUGGUAGGUUAUACGCCUACCAUGGUUAUAACGGGUAACGGAGAAUUAGGGUUCGACUCCGGAGAGGGAGCCUGAGAAAUGGCUACCACAUCCAAGGAAGGCAGCAGGCGCGCAAAUUACCCAAUCCCAGAACGGGGAGGUAGUGACGAAAAAUAACGAGGUAAUCCACUUUGUGGCUUGCCAUCGGAAUGGGCACAAUAUAAA